Molecule: ribosomal RNA, 535 nt
Filed under: Carayonia sp. n. 00003627
Lineage: Eukaryota; Metazoa; Arthropoda; Insecta; Hemiptera; Reduviidae
Description: eukaryotic LSU rRNA
Rfam family: Eukaryotic large subunit ribosomal RNA
Source: RNAcentral
UGUACGCGAGUCAUUGGGUGUAUAAAACCCAAAGGCGAAAUGAAAGUAAAGAGAUGGAAAUUUGAAUUGGUUUUCCUUUUCAGUUUCCUCUCGAAGGAUGAUGGAAACUUUAUCUUAAAGCAGUUUACUGCAUUUUAGAUAAAAGUUUCCCGCACUCCUGGGGCGCUUGUUUCUCGCUUUGCGAGUUAAUGCGCACCUAGAGCGUACACGCUGAUACCCGAAAGAUGGUGAACUAUGCCUGGCCAGGACGAAGCCAGGGGAAACCCUGGUGGAGGUCCGCAGCGAUUCUGACGUGCAAAUCGAUCGUCGGAGCUGGGUAUAGGGGCGAAAGACCAAUCGAACCAUCUAGUAGCUGGUUCCCUCUGAAGUUUCCCUCAGGAUAGCUUGCUCUCAAGUAUAAGAGUCUCAUCCGGUAGAGCGAAUGAUUAGAGGCAUUGGGGUCGAAACGACCUCAACCUAUUCUCAAACUCCAAAUAGAUGAGAACUCCGGCUUUCUUAAAAAUGAAGCCGUGAGAUUCGGAUCAGAGUGCAAAGU